Molecule: ribosomal RNA, 1510 nt
Filed under: metagenome
Description: bacterial SSU rRNA
Rfam family: Bacterial small subunit ribosomal RNA
Source: RNAcentral
AGAGUUUGAUCCUGGCUCAGAGUGAACGCUGGCGGCGUGCCUAACACAUGCAAGUCGAACGCGAAAGUCCCGCAAGGGAUAAGUAGAGUGGCAGACGGGUGAGUAAUGCAUAGGUAAUCUACCCUUGAGUGGGGGAUAACUCCGGGAAACCGGUGCUAAUCCCGCAUAAUGUCCCGAUGCGCAAGCAUUGGAACCAAAGGGGGGGAUCCUUCGGGACCUCCUGCUUGAGGAUGAGCCUAUGUCCUAUUAGCUAGUUGGCGGGGUAAUGGCCCACCAAGGCUCUGAUGGGUAGCCGAGCUGAGAGGCUGAUCGGCCACACUGGAACUGAAACACGGUCCAGACUCCUACGGGAGGCAGCAGUGGGGAAUUUUGGACAAUGGGCGCAAGCCUGAUCCAGCCAUGCCGCGUGAGUGAAGAAGGCCUUCGGGUUGUAAAGCUCUUUCGGUGGGGAAGAAAUUGCUCAGGUUAAUACCUUGAGUAGAUGACGGUACCCGCAUAAGAAGCACCGGCUAACUACGUGCCAGCAGCCGCGGUAAUACGUAGGGUGCGAGCGUUAAUCGGAAUUACUGGGCGUAAAGCGUGCGCAGGCGGUUGUAUAAGUCAGAUGUGAAAUCCCCGGGCUCAACCUGGGAACUGCAUUUGAGACUGUACGGCUAGAGUGUGGCAGAGGGGGGUAGAAUUCCACGUGUAGCAGUGAAAUGCGUAGAGAUGUGGAGGAAUACCGAUGGCGAAGGCAGCCCCCUGGGCCAAUACUGACGCUCAUGCACGAAAGCGUGGGAGCAAACAGGAUUAGAUACCCUGGUAGUCCACGCCCUAAACGAUGUCAACUAGAUGUUGGAAGGGUUAAACCUUUUAGUGUCGUAGCUAACGCGUGAAGUUGACCGCCUGGGGAGUACGGCCGCAAGGCUAAAACUCAAAGGAAUUGACGGGGACCCGCACAAGCGGUGGAUGAUGUGGAUUAAUUCGAUGCAACGCGAAAAACCUUACCUACCCUUGACAUGUCAGGAAUCCCGGAGAGAUUUGGGAGUGCUCGAAAGAGAACCUGAACACAGGUGCUGCAUGGCUGUCGUCAGCUCGUGUGUGAGAUGUUGGGUUAAGUCCCGCAACGAGCGCAACCCUUGUCAUUAAUUGCCAUCAUUCAGUUGGGCACUUUAAUGAGACUGCCGGUGACAAACCGGAGGAAGGUGGGGAUGACGUCAAGUCCUCAUGGCCCUUAUGGGUAGGGCUUCACACGUCAUACAAUGGUCGGUCCAGAGGGUUGCCAACCCGCGAGGGGGAGCCAAUCUCAGAAAGCCGAUCGUAGUCCGGAUCGUAGUCUGCAACUUGACUACGUGAAGUCGGAAUCGCUAGUAAUCGCGGAUCAGCAUGUCGCGGUGAAUACGUUCCCGGGUCUUGUACACACCGCCCGUCACACCAUGGGAGCGAGUUCUGCCAGAAGUAGUUAGCCUAACCGCAAGGGGGGCGAUUACCACGGCAGGGUUCGUGACUGGGGUGAAGUCGUAACAAGGUA